This 862-nucleotide ribosomal RNA is filed under the name uncultured archaeon. RNAcentral's name for it is "SSU rRNA". It matches the Rfam family "Archaeal small subunit ribosomal RNA", at positions 474 to 1337 of the family's 1478-position model. The record is from RNAcentral.
CACCAGCGCCACAAGUGGCAAUCACGUUUAUUAGGCCUAAAGCGUCCGUAGCCGGUUUGGUAAAUCUUUUGUGAAAGCGUCAGGCUCAACUUGACGACUGGCAGAAGACACUGCCAAACUCGAGACCGGGAGGAGUCAGAAGUAUUCAAGGGGGACCGGUAAAAUGGUAUAAUCCCUUGAGGACUACCGAUGGCGAAGGCAUCUGACCAGAACGGAUCUGACGGUGAGGGACGAAAGCCAGGGGAGCAAACCGGAUUAGAUACCCGAGUAGUCCUGGCCGUAAACGCUGCGAGCAAGGUGUUGCAUAAACUACGGGUUUAUGCAGUGUCGAAAGGAAGCUGUUAAGCUCGCCGCCUGGGAAGUACGGUCGCAAGGCUGAAACUUUAAGGAAUUGACGGGGGAGCACCACAAGGGGUGCAGCGUGCGGUUUAAUCUAACUCAACGCAGAGAACCUCACUAGGGGCGACGGCACUAUGAAGAUCAGUCUGAAGGGCUUAUCUGAGGAGCCGAGAGGUAGUGCAUGGCCGUCGUCAGCUCGUGCUGUAAAGUGUCCUCUUAAGUGAGGCAACGAGCGAGACCUGUAUCUACAAUUGCUAACGACAGUUUACUGGAUUGAGCACAUUGUAGAGACUGCCCUGGAAACAGGGAGGAAGGUGCAGGCUACGGUAGGUCUGUAUGCUCCGAAUCUCCUAGGCUACACGCGCGCAACAAUGGUAGGGACAAUGGGAUGCAACUCCGAAAGGAGAAGCUAAACCUCUAAACCCUAUCUCAGUUCAGAUUGAGGAUUGCAACUCAUCCUCAUGACGACGGAAUCCCUAGUAAUCAGAGUUCAUCAUACUCUGGUGAAUAUGUCCCUGCUCCU